UGAAGAUCCCCUCCACUGACUCAUAAUAACGAGUGCUAAGCGGUACCCACCCCAAGAUUCUUUCCACCGAUUUAUAAUAACGAGCGCUAAGCGAUACCAUCUCGAAAAACCCCUCUAGCAACUCAUAAUAGCGAGUAGCAAGCGGUAACAAGCUUGAAGAUCCCCUCCACUGACUCAUAAUAACGAGUGCUAAGCGGUACCCACCCCAAGAUUCUUUCCACCGAUUUAUAAUAACGAGCGCUAAGCGAUACCAUCUCGAAAAACCCCUCUAGCAACUCAUAAUAGCGAGUAGCAAGCGGUAACAAGCUUGAAGAUCCCCUCCACUGACUCAUAAUAACGAGUGCUAUGCGGUACCCACCCUGAAGAUUCUUCCCACCGAUUUAUAAUAACGAGUGCUAACUGAUACCAGCUUGAAGAUCCACCGACUCAUAAUAGCGAGUCCUAAGCGAUACCAUCUUGAAAAACCCCUCUAGUACUCAGCUUGAAGAUCCCCUGCACUGACUUAAAAUAACGAGUGCAAAGCGAUAGCAGCUUGAAGAACCCCUCCUAUCGACUCAUAGCACAACAGCAAGUGCUAGCAACUUAACGAUAUCGUUAUUAUAACUUCCUGCGUCAUCUAUGCACUAGCCUCUCCUCCAAAAGCAGGCAGUAACAAAACUUUGCUACAGUCCAACAUACAAUCAACAAAUUAAUAAUUGUAGAAGAUUUUACGUGAUCUACCUGCACGUGCUUUUCUUCUAAAGCUUCACAAAUAUAAUUACUUCAUGAGCCUAAUAAGGGUAUAUUCCAUUGACCCGUAAUGUGCAAUAUAGGGAUAAAUACAUAUAUGUAUGUACAUGCUGGGUAUGUAGGCACUGAAUCAGACUUAAAAGUGAGACCAAAUUUAUAUGGAUUAACAAAUGGUUUUUGCUAAAUAGAGAUACACACAUUGAAGUUCUUAUUAUAGCUGCUUAUUAGUAAAAAGUUCUUGAUUAUUCAAAUGACAAUAAAGACGAAUAAACUAAAACUACAAACGACCUGGUCUGUCUUAGUUCUACAAGAUUGGUAAUUUUUGUAGAAACAUUGUUUGUGAAAAAUUGUUUUCACGAUGAUUGGUAAUCAUAAUAU
Molecule: long non-coding RNA, 1107 nt
Organism: Agrilus planipennis (emerald ash borer)
Lineage: Eukaryota; Metazoa; Arthropoda; Insecta; Coleoptera; Buprestidae
Exons: 3
Source: RefSeq, a predicted model, not a curated record